AGCUCCAGUAGCGUAUAUUAAAGUUGUUGCAGUUAAAAAGCUCGUAGUUGGAUUUCUGGUUGACCGCUUUAGCCCGCUUCCCUCGGGAAGUGAGCGCUGAGGUAAGUUGGCCAUCUUUGUCAAUCGCCAUGCCUGCUCUUCACUGAGUUGGGCAUGUGUGGUUGGCAUCUUUUACUUUGAAAAAAUUAGAGUGUUUCAAGCAGGCUUAUGCUUUGAAUACAUUAGCAUGGAAUAAUAAUAUAGGACUUUGGUUCUAUUUUGUUGGUUUCUAGGACUAAAGUAAUGAUUGAUAGGGAUAGUUGGGGGUGCUAGUAUUCCGUGGCCAGAGGUGAAAUUCUUGGAUUCACGGAAGACUAACUACUGCGAAAGCAUUCACCAAGGAUGUCUUCU
This 390-nucleotide ribosomal RNA is filed under the name uncultured eukaryote. Its description in RNAcentral is "SSU rRNA". It matches the Rfam family "Eukaryotic small subunit ribosomal RNA", at positions 587 to 972 of the family's 1831-position model. The record is from RNAcentral.